This 463-nucleotide ribosomal RNA is filed under the name Vreelandella stevensii. RNAcentral's name for it is "partial 16S ribosomal RNA". It matches the Rfam family "Bacterial small subunit ribosomal RNA", at positions 338 to 795 of the family's 1533-position model. Lineage: Bacteria; Pseudomonadati; Pseudomonadota; Gammaproteobacteria; Oceanospirillales; Halomonadaceae. The record is from RNAcentral.
CCUACGGGCGGCAGCAGUGGGGAAUAUUGGACAAUGGGGGCAACCCUGAUCCAGCCAUGCCGCGUGUGAAGAAGGCCCUCGGGUUGUAAAGCACUUUCAGUGAGGAAGAACGCCUGGUGGUUAAUACCCAUCAGGAAAGACAUCACUCACAGAAGAAGCACCGGCUAACUCCGUGCCAGCAGCCGCGGUAAUACGGAGGGUGCGAGCGUUAAUCGGAAUUACUGGGCGUAAAGCGCGCGUAGGUGGCUUGAUAAGCCGGUUGUGAAAGCCCCGGGCUCAACCUGGGAACGGCAUCCGGAACUGUCAAGCUAGAGUGCAGGAGAGGAAGGUAGAAUUCCCGGUGUAGCGGUGAAAUGCGUAGAGAUCGGGAGGAAUACCAGUGGCGAAGGCGGCCUUCUGGACUGACACUGACACUGAGGUGCGAAAGCGUGGGUAGCAAACAGGAUUAGAUACCCGGGUAGUC